CUGAAGUUAAAUUACCUAUAAAUUAACAACAUACUCUCAGAUCACCAUUCAGUUAGCAUAGCAUGAACCUUUUGUGCAUAGGCCUUUAUUUCCCACCAAAAUAUGUUAAUCUUUCUGCCUUCAUGUGAUACGUGACACAAUUUUGUGUACAUGAGAGACAGACACUGGUUUUAUAAUGUCUGUAAAGGCCUCUCUCUAAUUCUUCAACUCUAGCAGAGAAAUACAUAGAUACACAAUUGGUGAAAUCAGGGUGACAAAGAAAUGGUUGAGGUGUGUUCAAAGCCCUCCCUCAAGACGAUAGGAGCUGAACAAUGAAAUAAGUAAGCAGAACAAAAAAUGUUAUCUGAAAGGACUGAUCUCGUUUAUCCCAUUUUUUAAGUGUGUUGAUAACUGAUUUCACAGCACAAACACCCAGUAACAUAUUACAGCCAGUCUAAUAUUUUAAUGUUAUUUCAACAUGUGAAAUAUACCAAACAGAUAUUCAUGAAUUUAGAAAAACCUUUCUGGGAUAACCUUAUCAUAACAAUUGUCUUUUUUUUUGUUGCCUAUGUUUUUGUUGUAAACAAAUGUCCUGUUCUGCCUGAAAUUAAUCUGAUAUUCAUAUCAUCUCAUUCCUGUCAUACAACAUAAAUACCACUUUAUUUCUAUGUGAACAAGGCAUAACAGAUGCAGUUGGCACACAAUAAUAAUUAUUGAAAUGUAACUUAAGGGAAGUGAAUGUCUUUUCAGGUAAUGGAUUGUAUUUAAUUUAAUUUCUUCAUUAAUCCGGUACAGGAAACGAAACCAGCAUUUUCUUCAUUCAAUGUAUAAGUAAUAGUGAAUUACAAAACAGUAUAAAUACACCAUUCAGUUACAAUAAGUAUUAGUGCAGUAAGUAGAAGGAAUAACUAUCAAGAUUCUUAAAAUCUUGUUGAUAAUUGGUAGACCAGCUGUCUUUUUUUUUUACAUUGUCCUCAAGCUGUUCAAUAUUCUCAUGUUCUCCAUAGCAAUUAAUUAUUUCCCUGUACAUUUUGGGGUAAUAAAUAAUAAUAAAUAGUAUACAGUUCUAAUAAUUAAUAUGAUUACAUUGUUGGUAAGUUUCCCUGUCACAGUGGUGAUCAGUUAUAUCAGUAUUAGUCAAGCAGUUGUGACAACAUAACAAGACAGAUGAGUAGACUUGUCUUGUAGCUUAUUCCACUGGAGGCGGCAGCAUUGUUUAUUGUUGAUUCAACAACAGAAGAAGGUGUGGUCUUAGUGGGGUCAGCUGUGGUUGUGGUUGUAGCAGUAGCUGUGGUUGUGGUUGUAGUUGGAGCAGCUGUGGUUGUUGUUGCAGCAACUGUUGUUGUGGUGGCUGCUGCAGCAGUUGCAUGUGUCGUUGUCAUGGCAGGAUCUGUGGUGGUCAUCAUGGACAUAGCUGAGGUUGUAGUUGGAGCAGCUGUGGUUGUUGAAUGAGCAACUGUGGUAGUUGUGAUGCCUGCUGUGGUUGUGGUGGCAGCACCUGUGGUUGUGGUGGCAGCACCUGUGGUUGUUGUGGGAGAAACUGUGGAUGUUGUGGGGGCAUUCGUUGUUGGGCUUUGGGCAUUCCCUGAUGCUGUUGCAAAUGAAAAAGCAUAGAUUUUAGAACAUCUUUUAGAAUUUCGUAAUGAUCUACAAUUUAAAGACUAGAGAAUGAACUUACCUAUAAUCAUAAGGACUAUGAGAAUUUUUCUGUUCAUCUUUGAAAAUGUUUUCUUUUUAGUCUGUGGUCACAGAGAGAUGGGCACAUGAUUCAUUUAAAUGUAAAAUACAAAUAUUUAUCAACAGAAUGUAAUAUAAACUUGAAUAUUGUGGACAAAGAUCACUAAUGGUAAAUGCAGUAUUUUUGUCUGUUUGUGUACAGUAAGUCUUGUUUGUGAUGUUUCUAAUCAAGUGAUCCACAACUUCUUUGUCUUGAUAUUUAAUAUUUUAAUAAUUCACAUUUGUAUUUUUUUUAAACUUUUAUUUAUUAUUUUAACCAUGAUUUAUUUAUCCAGAAGUCUUGUUAAGGUCAGAAGGCAUAUUUUUAUUUAUUUAAACAUGGCUAAGAGGUCAGCUGAAUUAAAACACAUAGAUACGCUACAGUGCAUGUGUUAUUGUAUAAUCCGUACAUGUAUAGACUUACCACUAAAUCUGUAGAUUUACAAAAUGAAAAUGUAAUCAUUCGAUUUAGUGUUUUUACACAUUUACCAUAACACAUACACAGCAGAGCAAAACAUGAAUAUGAAUAACUGUAAUUACCCACCAUCAAUCAUAAAACACAUGUAGUCAUUAAGAAUUGAAACAUUUGCACACCUCCUGCAGCAAGUCUGAAACUAUAGCCUUGAAUUCCUCUAUCAGGACAAAGCACUCUAGGUUAAAGAAGAUGAUUCCUGGAC
Long non-coding RNA from Oncorhynchus tshawytscha (Chinook salmon), 2372 nucleotides. The record is from Ensembl. NCBI's taxonomy places the organism in Eukaryota, Metazoa, Chordata, Actinopteri, Salmoniformes, Salmonidae.